AAGUUUGCUGAAUUUUGUGUGUGGUCCAGCUGAUUUAAAUGGACUGAAAUGUGAGGCCCAAACUUGGAGGCCCAAUUCAGUAUGAAGAAAUCUCUAGAAUGUGGAAAUCGGCUGUUGAACUGAAACGCGUUUUCUGUUUCAAAUGACACCUCUUCUGGAUGACAGACAAGUGGCACUCUUUGGACCGUUGGAUCAAAUGCAAGACUCUCUAUUAUAAAAGGCAGUGGACGUCUCUAGGGUUUUACUCUCUUGACUUUCUGACUACUCCUCUCUCGUUCUUUUCCUCUUCUUUGUAGAAUCUGAAAACCUCUCAUUUUUCUUGUGUGAUUUUGAGAGUAUAGAUGGUGUUAUAGUGAACUCUUGUGUGAGUUCUAGAUGAUGUGAGAAGAUCUUGUGCUUGCGAGAGUGUUAGAACUAUGUGUUCUUGUAAUAUGACAUUUUUGCUUAUUUUUGGGCAGUUCAUUGUGGAUUUUGAGCUUAAUCCUAACGGAUACUCAAUGAGGAUUAGGCGUUUGAAGCUAUCCCCGAACCUCGGGGCCUUUGGGCCGAAAAAUCCUGUGUUUUUGAUCUUGUUAUUAAUCUAUUUUGUUGUGUUCGAUUUACAAAUUACAACACAAAUAUCUUUUCUAAUUACAACAAUAGUAUCAGAGCUUUAGAAAUUCUGAUUUGUAUUGUGUUUUGAGCUUCUGGUUUUUUUGAUCGAACACUUGGAUCUGUGGAGAUCUAUUAUUCUGCCUUUCGUUUCUUGAAAUUUUUUAAGUGGUUCUUCUAAUACAUGGUUGGGUUCUUGGUGUUUCUGAGUAUCGUCUUUUGAAAAUAAUUGCGUCUUUACAAAAUCUUGGUAACCGAUAGUUUUUCAAAGAUAGAGUUUCUGUGAAUCUUCCCUAAAUCUACCUUUGUCUAGGGGUCAUUGUGAGAACCCUAGAAUCUGAGGGGACUAGGGCUUCGAUUCAAGAAACUUCAUUCUUUUCAAGAUUAUUUUUUUUAAAAUACAUAAUCGGUUAUUGUGAGGACAUUGAGAUAUUCCAAAAUAUUUUUCUUUGCACAUAUACUGCUGUAUAUACCGUUGAUUAUACUGAUACUCAAAAAUUCAUUUAUUCAGGAAAGGACUGAAAAUACUGAUUGACUAAGACAGUGCUUCUUGAAGGUAUAUGUAGUGCACUUAUCUUUUUGGUAGCUUACCUAGUAUAAGUGUAAUUUGACCCUGAACUCCAUUGUGUGCUUGGCAAUUUUGUAUAUUAUCCUUAUAUAUAAAUACUGUGAAUUUGGAAUAAUUGAUCGUUACUAUAUCACUGUGAUAUUAUUGCUGGCUAUUUCAUAUCUGCGUAUAUAUAUUGUUCGAAC
RNAcentral lists this long non-coding RNA (1344 nucleotides) under Olea europaea subsp. europaea. Lineage: Eukaryota; Viridiplantae; Streptophyta; Magnoliopsida; Lamiales; Oleaceae. The record is from RNAcentral.